RNAcentral lists this transfer RNA (74 nucleotides) under Synergistaceae bacterium. RNAcentral's name for it is "tRNA-Gln". It matches the Rfam family "tRNA". Rfam says of the family: Transfer RNA (tRNA) molecules are approximately 80 nucleotides in length. Their secondary structure includes four short double-helical elements and three loops (D, anti-codon, and T loops). The record is from RNAcentral. Lineage: Bacteria; Thermotogati; Synergistota; Synergistia; Synergistales; Synergistaceae.
UGGGGUGUAGCCAAGCGGCAAGGCAGCGGACUUUGGAUCCGCGACCGAUGGUUCGAAUCCAUCCACCCCAGCCA